CUCGAUAUUGAAUCAAGUACGGCGCAUGCGCAAUGGCAACUUUAUCAAAAUUCAAAAAUACAACGUACAAAUGAGUCUGCGAACAUGGUUUAUUUGGAUAUUCUUGAUGCACUUCCAAAUAAUUCUGGAUUUGACGUACUGUGAGAAAAGUAAGAUUGCCAACGAGACUCUGUCCAGCCUCUUGUCUGUGCAAAGCGAGUUGAGCUGCCUUUGCAAUAUCACCACCAGCAACAGCCAGACAAUGUCGAGCUUCCGCUGGACUUGCUCCGGGAAACAUUUCCUGGAGAAGUGCAACCUGAUGCCACGUUGAUUCCUGCUGCAACAACAAUGGAUAUCAAUCUCCAUCGAACGCAUCUGCAGUACGCAUAGGAUGGCAAAUCAGUGAAAUGGAAUCUACUUAGAGCCAAAAUCUAUGGUUCAAUGGCUCUGAACAUUGAUGGGACGCACCGUUUAACCGGUUUUGCUUUAUUUACAUAAAAACAAAACAAUACUUCUUGAAUAACUAACAACCGAUAGUAGGUAAUUAUACCAUACUUGGCGUAUUAUUAUUUAACCAGCCAGGUGAAGAACAGAAUUUUUCAACUAUACGGAUGCUUAUAGAGAAUACAUGUGAGGAAUGUUCACUGUUCUGUCUAUUGAUGUGGAAAGAUUAUGACCUGUGAUGAUCAUGAAUUAUUCCCCUCAUGUAUGCAUUUAUAAGAUAAAAUAUAAAAUAACAGUGUAAAAACUUUUUUUUUUAUUCUCUAAUUAUAUUUAAAGUUAUUAAUUAUAAUCUAUAGACGGCUCAAGUUUAUUUUCAAGUCGUACAGAGGGGAAUUUAAGUUCUUGUGUCAUCUUAUUCAUAAAUAUAAGCAUUGUUCCACCCUGAUGAUUUAAGGUAAUGAGGA
This is a long non-coding RNA of Athalia rosae (coleseed sawfly), 887 nucleotides long. RefSeq lists it as uncharacterized. The record is from RefSeq and is a predicted model, not a curated record. Lineage: Eukaryota; Metazoa; Arthropoda; Insecta; Hymenoptera; Athaliidae. The transcript is spliced from 3 exons.